This is a long non-coding RNA of Triticum dicoccoides, 348 nucleotides long. RefSeq lists it as uncharacterized. Lineage: Eukaryota; Viridiplantae; Streptophyta; Magnoliopsida; Poales; Poaceae. The record is from RefSeq and is a predicted model, not a curated record. The transcript has 3 exons.
CUCGUCCACACGCGCCUGUCGGGCGUUUUGGAUCUCGCAGAGGAGGUCCAUCGACCACCGCUGUUCGCCGAUGUUUCCGCCACCCAGAGGGAGAGGAACAAGCCGGCCGACUUCACCUGAGUUCAUCGGAGUUCACGUCUUCUCCACCGCCGCUUGAGGACGCCCCGCCACCGUUGAGCACCACCACCGCCUCCGCCACUCACCUCCGCACCCGUCCGUCACCUCGCCUUCGCCGGAGACCCACCAGAGGAGCGUUGCCGCCAACGCCCAAGACCGCCAUCGUUUUCCUCUGUUUUGGAUUGUCCGGAGUGCGACGCGAGCUAUUGUCAGGAGUGUGACUUUCUGAAC